Molecule: ribosomal RNA, 1190 nt
Filed under: Paraburkholderia silvatlantica
Lineage: Bacteria; Pseudomonadati; Pseudomonadota; Betaproteobacteria; Burkholderiales; Burkholderiaceae
Description: partial 23S ribosomal RNA
Rfam family: Bacterial large subunit ribosomal RNA
Source: RNAcentral
CUGACCGUACCGCAAACCGACACAGGUGGGCGAGAUGAGUAUUCUAAGGCGCUUGAGAGAACUCGGGAGAAGGAACUCGGCAAAUUGGUACCGUAACUUCGGGAUAAGGUACGCCCUGGUAGCUUGACUGGCCUGCGCCAGGAGGGUGAAGGGGUUGCAAUAAACUGGUGGCUGCGACUGUUUAAUAAAAACACAGCACUCUGCAAACACGAAAGUGGACGUAUAGGGUGUGACGCCUGCCCGGUGCCGGAAGAUUAAAUGAUGGGGUGCAAGCUCUUGAUUGAAGUCCCGGUAAACGGCGGCCGUAACUAUAACGGUCCUAAGGUAGCGAAAUUCCUUGUCGGGUAAGUUCCGACCUGCACGAAUGGCGUAACGAUGGCCACACUGUCUCCUCCCGAGACUCAGCGAAGUUGAAGUGUUUGUGAUGAUGCAAUCUCCCCGCGGCUAGACGGAAAGACCCCAUGAACCUUUACUGUAGCUUUGCAUUGGACUUUGAACCGGUUUGUGUAGGAUAGGUGGGAGGCUGUGAAGCGGGAACGCCAGUUUCCGUGGAGCCGUCCUUGAAAUACCACCCUGAUCUGUUUGAGGUUCUAACCUUGGCCCGUGAUCCGGGUCGGGGACAGUGCAUGGUAGGCAGUUUGACUGGGGCGGUCUCCUCCCAAAGGGUAACGGAGGAGUACGAAGGUACGCUAGGUACGGUCGGAAAUCGUGCUGAUAGUGCAAUGGCAUAAGCGUGCUUGACUGUGAGACCCACAAGUCGAACAGGUGCGAAAGCAGGUCAUAGUGAUCCGGUGGUUCUGUAUGGAAGGGCCAUCGCUCAACGGAUAAAAGGUACUCUGGGGAUAACAGGCUGAUACCGCCCAAGAGUUCAUAUCGACGGCGGUGUUUGGCACCUCGAUGUCGGCUCAUCUCAUCCUGGGGCUGUAGCCGGUCCCAAGGGUAUGGCUGUUCGCCAUUUAAAGAGGUACGUGAGCUGGGUUUAAAACGUCGUGAGACAGUUUGGUCCCUAUCUGCCGUGGGCGCUGGAAGUUUGAGGGGGCCUGCUCCUAGUACGAGAGGACCGGAGUGGACGAACCUCUGGUGUACCGGUUGUCACGCCAGUGGCAUCGCCGGGUAGCUAUGUUCGGAAGAGAUAACCGCUGAAAGCAUCUAAGCGGGAAACUCGCCCCAAGAUGAGACUUCCCCGGAGC